UUAUCCGUGAGGGUUGGUCUGAAGGAAGCCGCUAGCCUUCCUAUUCAUUAAGAGUGCGAGCUGAUGAACAAGAACAUCAUAUGAGGCGUAGGCUAGAGGUGAGUUGGCAGGGUCUGCCCCGCGUAGCAAGGGUACAAGACGACGAAACCACGUGAUCUAAUGGCCACAGUAAAUGAUGCAGCAGUGCAAAGAAAGUUCAUGUU
Molecule: non-coding RNA, 203 nt
Filed under: Shewanella benthica
Lineage: Bacteria; Pseudomonadati; Pseudomonadota; Gammaproteobacteria; Alteromonadales; Shewanellaceae
Source: RNAcentral